AUACGGAGGAUCCGAGCGUUAUCCGGAUUUAUUGGGUUUAAAGGGUGCGCAGGCGGCCAUUUAAGUCAGCGGUUAAAUCGUGGGGCUCAACCCCAUUCUGCCGUUGAUACUGGGUGGCUUGAUUGCGGUCGAGGUUGGCGGAAUUCGUUGUGUAGCGGUGAAAUGCAUAGAUAUGACGAAGAACACCGAUUGCGUAGGCAGCUGACCAGACCGCAAAUGACGCUCAUGCACGAAAGUGCGGGGAUCGAACAGGAUUAGAUACCCUGGUAGUCCGCACAGUAAACGAUGAAUACUUGUUUUCGGCGAUAUAAUGUCGGAGGCAAAGCGAAAGCGAUAAGUAUUCCACCUGGGGGGUACGCCGGCGACGGUGAAACUCAAAUGAAUUGGCGGGG
RNAcentral lists this ribosomal RNA (392 nucleotides) under uncultured bacterium. RNAcentral's name for it is "partial 16S ribosomal RNA". It matches the Rfam family "Bacterial small subunit ribosomal RNA", at positions 523 to 918 of the family's 1533-position model. The record is from RNAcentral.